This 468-nucleotide ribosomal RNA is filed under the name uncultured bacterium. Its description in RNAcentral is "partial 16S ribosomal RNA". It matches the Rfam family "Bacterial small subunit ribosomal RNA", at positions 28 to 507 of the family's 1533-position model. The record is from RNAcentral.
GACGAACGCUGGCGGCGUGCUUAAUACAUGCAAGUCGAACGGAAAGGCCCUGCUUUUGUGGGGUGCUCGAGUGGCGAACGGGUGAGUAACACGUGAGUAACCUGCCCUUGACUUUGGGAUAACUUCAGGAAACUGGGGCUAAUACCGGAUAGGAGCUCCUGCUGCAUGGUGGGGGUUGGAAAGUUUCGGCGGGUGGGGAUGGACUCGCGGCUUAUCAGCUUGUUGGUGGGGUAGUGGCUUACCAAGGCUUUGACGGGUAGCCGGCCUGAGAGGGUGACCGGCCACCUUGGGACUGAGAUACGGCCCAGAGUCCUACGGGAGGCAGCAGUGGGGAAUAUUGCACAAUGGGCGGAAGCCUGAUGCAGCAACGCCGCGUGCGGGAUGACGGCCUUCGGGUUGUAAACCGCUUCCGCCUGUGACGAAGCGUGAGUGACGGUAAUGGGUAAAGAAGCACCGGCUAACUACGUG